AUGAACGCUGGCGGCGUGCUUAACACAUGCAAGUCGAACGAGAAGUGAAGACGGAAACCUUCGGGCGGAAGGCUUUAUUUCGAGUGGCGGACGGGUGAGUAACGCGUGGGUAACCUGCCUCAUACAGGGGGAUAACAGUUGGAAACGACUGUUAAUACCGCAUAAGACCACAGCACCGCAUGGUGCGGGGGUAAAAACUCCGGUGGUAUGAGAUGGACCCGCGUUCGAUUAGCCAGUUGGCGGGGUAACGGCCCACCAAAGCGACGAUCGAUAGCCGAUCUGAGAGGAUGACCGGCCACAUUGGGACUGAGACACGGCCCAAACUCCUACGGGAGGCAGCAGUGGGGAAUAUUGCACAAUGGGGAAAACCCUGAUGCAGCGACGCCGCGUGAGUGAAGAAGUAUUUCGGUAUGUAAAGCUCUAUCAGCAGGGAAGAAAAUGACGGUACCUGAGUAAGAAGCCCCGGCUAACUACGUG
RNAcentral lists this ribosomal RNA (477 nucleotides) under uncultured bacterium. RNAcentral's name for it is "partial 16S ribosomal RNA". It matches the Rfam family "Bacterial small subunit ribosomal RNA", at positions 29 to 507 of the family's 1533-position model. The record is from RNAcentral.